UCUUCUCCUCUCUCGUUCUUCUUUCUUCUUUUCUUCUCUUUUCUUCUUCUGUUUUCUUCUCCGGCGAUUCUGAGCAUCGAUUUGAGGGAAUCGAUCGAUGAUGUUUUUAGUAUAUAAUCAAAUAAGGUUUUGUGGUGGUGUUCAUGUUGGUUGAUCAUGAGAAUAAGAGGAGAUGACGAUCUGUAUAGAAACCAGAUAGUUCAAGCCAUGGAAGAAUUGAUUAAUUGAAGGAGGAUUUGAUUAGUUGGUGAUGAAGAACAAAAAGGGUUAGUGUUUAAUUGAAGUUCUGAAGAUAAUUCGAUGAUGAAUUGAUAAGUUAGGGUUUCAUGAGGAGAGCUCUGAGAAUAUUUGGAAAGUGAAUAUGAUGCUAUAGAUAGAUGAUUAGAAGUGGGUUUAGUCGAUUAAGAAACGGGGUGAAGUUAAUUAGAUGUUGGGGAUGUUCUGAGGAAGAAUUGAAAAAUUAUGGUUCAUGUGUUCUUACGCAAAUUAGAACUAGGGUUUUGAGUAUUGAAUCAAAUGUUGGUUUGAAGCUAAUGAAGAACUUGGGUUUGAUUCUCGUGUAAAGAUGAGGAUGGCUAUUGAGGAGUUGUUAUUAGUCCUGAGAUGAGUUGAUGAAUAGAGUCAGGUGAAGGAGAACUGAAUUCAAUUUCCUGAGCAACACUGUUUUGAGUUGAACUGAGUUGCAAGUGGAAUUGGAUGUUAAUGCAGGAUGUAGUAUCUGUGGUGUUGUUGCACAGUUGGUGGUGUGAGAUGGAUAUUGCAGAUAGAACCAAUGUGUGUGUGUUGCAGAUGAAGAAGUUGUUUACACUAGAGUUGAACUGUUGGAACUGAAAUGUUUGGUGGCUGGUGUUGACAGUGUUAAGCUAAAACUGAAAUAUGGAAGUAUGCAAUAUUGGUGAUGUUUCUUAGAGUUGGACUUGUAGUUAGCAAUUGCUGAGAAAGCUUGGAAUUGCUAGUGUUGCAGGUAGGCUUAAAAUUACAGUUGUAUUGAAUUUUUGAAUUCUAUUUGAAUAAAUGAAAUGUUUAGUAGUUGUAUAAA
This is a long non-coding RNA of Papaver somniferum (opium poppy), 1039 nucleotides long. RefSeq lists it as uncharacterized. The record is from RefSeq and is a predicted model, not a curated record. Lineage: Eukaryota; Viridiplantae; Streptophyta; Magnoliopsida; Ranunculales; Papaveraceae. The transcript is spliced from 2 exons.